This 253-nucleotide ribosomal RNA is filed under the name uncultured bacterium. Its description in RNAcentral is "partial 16S ribosomal RNA". It matches the Rfam family "Bacterial small subunit ribosomal RNA", at positions 524 to 776 of the family's 1533-position model. The record is from RNAcentral.
UACAGAGGGUGCGAGCGUUAAUCGGAAUUACUGGGCGUAAAGGGCGCGUAGGCGGUACGGCAAGUGGGACGUGAAAUCCCCGGGCUCAACCUGGGAACUGCAUCCCGGACUGCCGUGCUGGAGUACUGUAGAGGGCAGUGGGAUUUCCGGUGUAGCGGUGAAAUGCGUAGAGAUCGGAAGGAACACCAGUGGCGAAGGCGGCUGCCUGGACAGAUACUGACGCUGGGGCGCGAGAGCGUGGGGAGCAAACAGG